AUUGCUUAACUUUCAAUUUCUUCACCCUAUUCUUCAGGAGGGCUCCUGACUUGCCAUUUUUCAAUCCGUUAACUUUUAUCUUUUCACCUUGUUGCUUUGUUUUCAACUUCUUCAGCUUGUUGCUUGACUUUUCAUUUAUUCGCCCUGUUCUUCAGGCGGGCGCCUGAAAUCACAUCAAAACUAAAAGAAAAUUAUCCCAAACAAGAAUUAUUAU
Molecule: long non-coding RNA, 214 nt
Filed under: Capsicum annuum
Lineage: Eukaryota; Viridiplantae; Streptophyta; Magnoliopsida; Solanales; Solanaceae
Description: long non-coding RNA (CANN_LNC000574)
Source: RNAcentral